AUUUUUACUAAGGGACAUUCAUAAUUACGGAACAAUAUUUUUUAACAGCCAUGCAAAUUCAUAUAAGCAAGCCUGCUAAUUAUAUAACCACCAAGGAAACACCAACCUUCUUUUAAUUGCCAGCUUGAAUGCCCCGGGGAUGGCGACCCCGGAGAAAGGGAGUGAGGCGCCAUCAGCGGAGCAUUGCGAAGAUCAUCUCAGUGACAGCUCACCGACAUUGGGGAGAGAGCACCGCACAUUCCGCACCCGCCUCGCUGAACUCCUCGAAACCGUGGCGGCAUUGGUCGCGGAGCUCGACCGCGAAGGGCCAACGGUGAAGGAGAGAGCACCGGAGCUGCGCGGGGUUGAGCAUCCCGUCGCCAUUUCCCGCCAGCGGGAAACUUCCGUGGCACAGCCUGCACAAGCGGCCGCCAUUUUGUUCGCAGAGCGGAGAGCCCGCAAAAUCUGAGACUGCGUUGAGUUCGCCUGUUGAGAUUCCAUCCCUCAGGUGCUGCACGUCUAACGUCCCCCAAGCCGCCACCUGUGCCAUCUCCACUGGAUUCGGGAGAGGAGAACCCAUCAGCCCGGCCGACUGCUCUUCGUGAGGAGCCGGGUUCGACGGGACAAUUGCAAAUUCCCCCCAGGACCUCCAGGACAAGCGAGCCCACCUCCCCUGGGGGCCCGGCCACAAGGACUCGAUCAAAUACUUUUCACACGCUCCCACAUCGUCAAUUAGUUGUCGCACUCUGCAGGCCGUAUCGGUUAUUGUCUGAACCUAGC
Long non-coding RNA from Lethenteron reissneri (Far Eastern brook lamprey), 759 nucleotides. RefSeq lists it as uncharacterized. NCBI's taxonomy places the organism in Eukaryota, Metazoa, Chordata, Hyperoartia, Petromyzontiformes, Petromyzontidae. The record is from RefSeq and is a predicted model, not a curated record.